Molecule: ribosomal RNA, 253 nt
Filed under: uncultured bacterium
Lineage: Bacteria
Description: partial 16S ribosomal RNA
Rfam family: Bacterial small subunit ribosomal RNA
Source: RNAcentral
UACGUAGGGUGCGAGCGUUAAUCGGAAUUACUGGGCGUAAAGCGUGCGCAGGCGGCUUUGCAAGACAGAUGUGAAAUCCCCGGGCUUAACCUGGGAACUGCAUUUGUGACUGCAUGGCUGGAGUGCGGCAGAGGGGGAUGGAAUUCCGCGUGUAGCAGUGAAAUGCGUAGAGAUGCGGAGGAACACCGAUGGCGAAGGCAGCCCCCUGGGCUAACACUGACGCUCAGGCACGAAAGCGUGGGGAGCAAACAGG